Molecule: ribosomal RNA, 1372 nt
Filed under: uncultured bacterium
Lineage: Bacteria
Description: bacterial SSU rRNA
Rfam family: Bacterial small subunit ribosomal RNA
Source: RNAcentral
GAUGAACGCUGGCGGCGUGCCUAAUACAUGCAAGUCGAGCGAACGGACGAGAAGCUUGCUUCUCUGAUGUUAGCGGCGGACGGGUGAGUAACACGUGGAUAACCUACCUAUAAGACUGGGAUAACUUCGGGAAACCGGAGCUAAUACCGGAUAAUAUUUUGAACCGCAUGGUUCAAAAGUGAAAGACGGUCUUGCUGUCACUUAUAGAUGGAUCCGCGCUGCAUUAGCUAGUUGGUAAGGUAACGGCUUACCAAGGCAACGAUGCAUAGCCGACCUGAGAGGGUGAUCGGCCACACUGGAACUGAGACACGGUCCAGACUCCUACGGGAGGCAGCAGUAGGGAAUCUUCCGCAAUGGGCGAAAGCCUGACGGAGCAACGCCGCGUGAGUGAUGAAGGUCUUCGGAUCGUAAAACUCUGUUAUUAGGGAAGAACAUAUGUGUAAGUAACUGUGCACAUCUUGACGGUACCUAAUCAGAAAGCCACGGCUAACUACGUGCCAGCAGCCGCGGUAAUACGUAGGUGGCAAGCGUUAUCCGGAAUUAUUGGGUGUAAAGCGCGCGUAGGCGGUUUUUUAAGUCUGAUGUGAAAGCCCACGGCUCAACCGUGGAGGGUCAUUGGAAACUGGAAAACUUGAGUGCAGAAGAGGAAAGUGGAAUUCCAUGUGUAGCGGUGAAAUGCGCAGAGAUAUGGAGGAACACCAGUGGCGAAGGCGACUUUCUGGUCUGUAACUGACGCUGAUGUGCGAAAGCGUGGGGAUCAAACAGGAUUAGAUACCCUGGUAGUCCACGCCGUAAACGAUGAGUGCUAAGUGUUAGGGGGUUUCCGCCCCUUAGUGCUGCAGCUAACGCAUUAAGCACUCCGCCUGGGGAGUACGACCGCAAGGUUGAAACUCAAAGGAAUUGACGGGGACCCGCACAAGCGGUGGAGCAUGUGGUUUAAUUCGAAGCAACGCGAAGAACCUUACCAAAUCUUGACAUCCUUUGACAACUCUAGAGAUAGAGCUUUCCCCUUCGGGGGACAAAGUGACAGGUGGUGCAUGGUUGUCGUCAGCUCGUGUCGUGAGAUGUUGGGUUAAGUCCCGCAACGAGCGCAACCCUUAAGCUUAGUUGCCAUCAUUAAGUUGGGCACUCUAAGUUGACUGCCGGUGACAAACCGGAGGAAGGUGGGGAUGACGUCAAAUCAUCAUGCCCCUUAUGAUUUGGGCUACACACGUGCUACAAUGGACAAUACAAAGGGCAGCGAAACCGCGAGGUCAAGCAAAUCCCAUAAAGUUGUUCUCAGUUCGGAUUGUAGUCUGCAACUCGACUACAUGAAGCUGGAAUCGCUAGUAAUCGUAGAUCAGCAUGCUACGGUGAAUACGUUCCCGGGUCU